GACAGAGGUGCCAAGCGUUAGGCGGAAUCACUGGGCUUAAAGCGUGUGUAGGCGGACCGUUAAGUACCUUGGGAAAUCCUGCGGCUCAACCGCAGAACGGCUGGGUAUACUGGCGGUCUUGGGCCACCUAGGGGCAGAUGGAACAGACGGUGGAGCGGUGAAAUGCGUAGAUAUCGCUUGGAACGCCAACGGUGAAAACAGGUUGCUGGGGGUGUGCUGACGCUGAGACACGAAAGCCAGGGGAGCGAACGGG
This 253-nucleotide ribosomal RNA is filed under the name uncultured bacterium. RNAcentral describes it as "partial 16S ribosomal RNA". It matches the Rfam family "Bacterial small subunit ribosomal RNA", at positions 524 to 776 of the family's 1533-position model. The record is from RNAcentral.